ACAACAAAUUGAAGGCUUUAGAAUCCUAAAAGGUUAGUUAAAGACUUUCUUUGUGAUUUUACAUUGGUCAAAUAAUGUGAAAAUAGUGUUCUUUAAACCUUCUGCAAAAGCAAUGCACACUUAGAAAUGUAAAAAACCCACCCCUCUCGGUAUUUGCCCCACAUUUUGAAAUAAGGUUUGCAGAGUCAGCUUGGGUUUCAGCCGAGCCCAUAAAGUUUUGUUUUUGGCAGUUCCAAUCCAGGCCCCAGAUUAUUGGACAAGAAAAACGAUAGACACAGGAAAAGCAGGGGAGGAAAGAAAGAAAAUAUAAAAAAAAAAUCCAAAAAAUCAUAUAGCACAUAAUUUUAGAUUAUUUUGUAACAUUUGAAAUUUCUGGAAGUACGGGUCCCAAUAUUUUCAGAACAAACUAUCAAGAAUUGCAAAAAGGGAAAGAAAUCUCAUUAUAAACCAAAGAAAAUGUUAAGCAUCAUGUUAUGCACCAACUUAGAGUAUAACAUGUUCCAUUGUUUGAUAAAAAUCUGACUGCCUAAUAUGUUACACCAUAGAUCUUAGACAGAAACAUUCAUACAUAAAGUUAAAUAUUAAUAUAAAUUUGAUAUGUUGGUUAGCAUUAUAUUAAGUACCAAAUACCAAAUUAUAAAUUAUAAGCUACAGCAUUUGUUAAUAAAAUUGUAAAUAGUUGCGUAAUGUUUCAGAUUAUAUUUGCUAAUCAAGCUCCGGGGUGUUGAGGUGGGAUGGGCAUCGGGUGGCAGCAGGGUGUGCAUCCUGGAUUUCUGGAAUAAAACUCUUCCAGUAACUUAAGAUAUUACAGCAAAGUGAGCAAACUUAAGAUAUUGCAACAAAGUGAGCAAACUUAAGAUAUUGCAGCAAAGUGAGCAAACGUACAUUCGAUCCUAAGAAAAUUCUCCUUUGGAUAGAUUUAACACCUAGAAUUUGGUGCUCAAAACAGGCACUGUUAUUCAUGGUUAGUUUUCACUUGAAACUAGUCUAAAACUGGUCAGUUUUGGCAUUAAAUCAAUACAAAAGAGUUUCAGAGGUCAGAUCAGUUUCAAAUGUUUUUUGAAGUAUAGUUUGAUAAACCUGAUAACUAAUAUGGGUCUCUUCCAAAACAUCCAUCACCUGGUUAUUUAACUUGAUACCUCGAUACACUAAAGUAAUCCAAAAUUCAUGUAAGAACACCAGGUAGUUAGCCUAUUCGAUAGACUCAAUGGCUGACCUAGCUGAUACAAUCAGAACCCUUUGUUCUAGGAUUAUGAACAUACACGUACAAAACAAUGUCGAUACAAUUUUUGACCUGUUGUUUACUAUCAUUCUAGAAGAUCUGAUUCCCAUGACACAGAUACCAAGAAAGAUGAGUCAAAUGGAAGUGAUAUUGAACAAAAAAAUAUGAUGCAGGGUGGUAGAUGGACUUGCAUGUUGUAGAGAAACCUAAAGAAAUGUGCAGUACAGCAAUGUCGGUCAUCGAAAUUGAAAAGCUGACACAAAAUACAUUUCAUAAUUAAAACCAACAUUGGAUCAUCCAAAUAUGUUUGUAACAGAUCAGAUCACUGCAAGCUCAUAAAUGGACAUGAUCUAGCAUAACAUAGACACCAAUUCUAGUACAGCAUAAAAACCAUCCAGAAUUCCUCAUAAUGUACAGCGCAUGACAUUAUUGAAAGAUGGCAUAUUAAGAAGAUCCACUAACGCUGAAAACAGGAUAAAUUAUGAACCAUGGCAUUACCAAUGACAGACAGAUGGAAGUGAAAAGAGAGCCCAUAGCAUAGACAAUGCAAUCUACCAUACUCAACUGCUCCCAAACUGUAGGGUUAGCAUCAGGGAAGACCUACAUCUAAGCCAGAUGAAUUCGGAAGAUGUCCGUUUACUGUGCAAGUUGCAGUCGCCUGGCCACCUUCCUUAAGGUCUAACUUCCUAUGCGUAGGCCAGCUACUAAAUAGGUGACUACUAGGGAACCCUGAAGGGUAGAGUUUGGACUACAUUAGGAGAUAGCUUGGGCAUUACAUGGCAGAACAGGAUAGUAGGCAUAUCAGGGGAAGAAAUGAAUACUGAGUGUCUGAUGCUCAUCUGCUUAUAAGCUAAUCUAUACAGAAUGCAAACUUUUAAAAAAAAAAAGUUAAAGACAUCAUGGAAAUGUCACAAGCAUAUGAACAUAACGACAAAUCAUCAAAAGAAUAAACAAAUUAUCAACAUAUAUGCAUAAAUUCCUUGAGACUUUUGGGUAGGCGUACAAUCUAUUUUGCUUACUAUGGAAGCAAAGCUUCUUGAUCGAACACAGGUAAGCACAUAGGGUUCACGGCAGUGUCUAUCUGUUAAAAGAAUUCAUCCUCCGGGAACCUGUCAUAAAACAGCUUCCUUCUUCCCUUAUUCUAGCAGCCCUUCGCACCUACUACAUCUUGACCAUGAAAAACUCAUAGUGGUUUUCUGGGAGUUAAUGAUUGGUUAAUCUUGUUUUCCCUCCAAAUUAGCAGGUAAGGCCUUAAUCUGUCCACAAUUUCGUGGCCUCCAUUCAUCUCUUCAUUUCCCUACUGAUGACAGAAUCAAUCAUUCUUUCAACAACAUCUGAUUAAAUGCCACAUAAUAAAAGAUUGAGCUGUCAAUUUGUACCUAAGCUGUACAUGAGGACUCCUUUAUGAACAGCUGCUGCUCUUGGUGGAACUCCUUCUAACAUUCGUGAAAUUUCCUUUUUCGUUUUUUCAGACAAGAAUGCUAUUGGCAAUCAAGAAAGCAUUGCAAGAGCCGAAACUAUCUCUUUUUAUGGAGUCUCCUCGAAACCUUCGGGUACUUUUUCUGUGUUCGUGGACGAUAUGCCUAUUAGCGAUCAAGAUCUCUCUGUUUAGAUCCUUCUUGCAAUUUACCUUUUCCUUUUGGAAAGAGUGACGUUAACAAUCAAGAAAGCAUCGACGUUGUCAUUCUAUCUACCUUCACGGAUAUCCUUAACACCUUCUUGUACUUUACCUUUUUCUUUCUAAAAUCAAAAAAACCACCGCAAGACUCGCUCUUUUGGAUUUCUAUGUUGGAAGCUAUCCAAGAAUUAAAACAAAAACAUGAUUGGACCAAGAACACAUCUAACUAUAAAAAACAGGUGGUAUCAAGAAGGCUGUAAACGAUCAUGAAAUCAUCGGAAGACAUAUUCUUUGGAAUUGCUGUGUUGGAUCCUGAUGCAGGAAUUGAAGAGAUCAGGGUUAGGGCUCGGAGAGAAAGAAGAGACCACACGUGGAGAGGAAGCACCGUUACAAUGCCCCGCCGCCAUGGGGAGGAUAGAGACAGAGGAGGAGGUGACGAAGGGAAAGGGAUUGGGGGCGACAAGAAGCGGAGGAGAGGGCUUCGCACCGCCACGGGACCCAAACAGCCAUCGGCCAUUACUUUGCGCUUCAGCUCUAUCUCCUCGUCUCGCAGCUCCGCUCAAUCGCAGUCUCCGUUGCCUCUCCUAGCGGGAAUAGGAGUAUAGGACGCCCUCCCCGUGGGUCUUAAAUAUGUGAGCGAGGCUUGGACGGGAGCGUUGUUAAUGGGCUCACUUCCAAGCCCUGAGUGGCAGCCCAUCAUAAGCUUCAAUACAUGGCUUGGCCCAUAAGAAAAUUAGUUUUGUACACUACUCUUAGAACCAGGGACAAGUCUAAGGCUCCAUUUGAUAGAAUUAUUAACAUUAGAGCUUUCAGUAGUCGAGCUUUUUGAAGUAGAACUUUUAUAUUUAUAGUAUAAUAUAAUAAUAAAGAUAAAAAAUACUUUUUGAAGUAGAACUUUUAUAUUUAUACUAUAAUAUAAUAAUAAAGAUAAAAAAUAUUAUAUUUUCUAUAAUUAUAAUAUUUUAUCAUAGGUAUUUUGGUCCAAAAGAAAAAAGUUAUAAAUCAAAACAACUUUCUGGCAUAUGCUAAAAGUGCUUUUCCGAAGAAGUUCCAUUUUGAAGUUUUUUCCAAAAAGCUAUUUUAGCUUUUUAGCAAAGCUAAAACAGCUUUCCGAUUUUUUUAUCAAACAUCCUUACUCUAUUAAAAAGUACCUUUAGAGGAAUAGAAAGUGCUUUCUAGCCUACUAAAAGCUCUGCCAAAUGGGCCUAAAUUGCAUGCACACCGAUGCUCAAUACCAUGCCCGAACUCAAUGGACCUGCAAAAUGCGCUUGUGCCCCAUGGUGUGGUGUAUAUGGAGGACAAUCCCGAGAUGAAUCUAACCUAUGAAUUGAGAUCGUAGAGAAAUAUGAAAUCUCAAGUCAUAACUGGGACCUAAUCAAUAGGUGGGGAAGAAAUUAAUAGCCAAAAUUUAAACAUAAUUAAGCAAUCCAUAUGGCCAAAAUCACCAUUUACAAAUCCAUAAAGCCAAAUUACGGCUUGCCAUGUGCCAUAUGUUUCCAUAGAGUGGCAUAUUUCGUGGAUCACAUAAUGAAUUGGGUGCUAAUUCAUAAUGUCGUUUGAUAUUAUAAGCCUUGUCUUGGUUUGUAAGGGAAAUAUAUGCAACUCCACUUCAAAGUAUCAUAGAUCCUGGAUAAGGGUAUCUUUUCUACCUUGCAUAGGAAGUUUUGGAUGAGCCUCUCAUGAAGCUGUGUCAUGUUCUGAUGUAAAGCCGUUGGCUUUCAUAAGAGAAACACUCGAUGCUAUUUUUUACUUACAAGUCCCUUGACUCAGAUUGGAGUGGUAAGGUUCUUAAUUCUCAAUUUUGAGUGAAUGCAUCAUUUAAUCCAAAGUUUGGCAAUCUAAUUUAGUAACCUCGACAAAUGUAUAAAUCAGUAGUUUGGCAAUUCGGCUUAAUUGAGUUUCCAAAAUCGUCUUUGUAAAAUAUUUUAUCUCAAUAUUAUAAUACCUAAAAAUAUUUAAAAAUGUGAAUAUUAUUUAAAUUAUAUGUAUACAUUAUGAAUGAAUCUAUACUUAUUUUGAUAUUACAUUAUUAAAAUAUUUUUAAUAUAUUUUAUUUAUAUUAUUUGAUUAUUUUAUGUUGACUUGCAAGUUAAUUUGUUUGAGCCAUGGAGGCAUUUUAGAUCAUUAAAAAUCCGAGAGAGCUUGAUUUCUGUACUUCUAAACAAUAUUUUUUUCUUUUUUAGAAAGAGUAAGGAAGACCUAGUCCGCUUGUUUAAACAUAGACUAUGACCUAACCAAUGUAUUCACUUCUUUAUCAAUUUGAAAGCCAUUGAUAUGUAUAGAAAUUUUUAUAUGAUACUUCUUUUUCCAAAUAUCAAGAUGCAUUACAAUCUUCACCACACGAAAGACUCUAACAUUGGCUUAUUGAUCUUUAUCAAACUAAUAGUAAUGGCAACGAAUAGGGUAUCCGUGGAAUUUACCCUUACGAGCUUGAUUUAAGUAUUUCUAAACACAAAUUUUUUCUCUUUUAGAAAGAGGAAGGAAGACCUACUCCGCUUGUUUAAAUAAAGAUUAUGACCUAACCAAUGUAUUCACUUCUUUGUCCAUUUGAAAGCCAAUAAUAUGUAUAGAAUUUUUUAUAUGAUACUUCUUUUCCAAAUAUUAAGAUGCAUUACAAUCUUCACCACAUGAAAGACUCUAACAUUGGCUUAUUAAUUAUUAUCAAACUAAUGGUAAUAACAAUGGAUAGGGCAUCCACAAAAAUUAUCCUACCCAUAUCUGAAUCCAUUUAAAAUCCUAUUAUCCAAACCUAUCCUAAAUCUGAUUAACAAUUUGUCCAAAAAUUUCAAACACGUCUGAUCAAAAAAUAGUAAAUCCAUCGAGUACCCGGCCUUUCCAAUUAAUCUUUAGUCAGAUUGGGCUAUUCUGGUUGGAUCGGGGACCCGACUUGAAAUUACUAAAAAAAAAAGAGAAAGAGAACAAAGAGAAAGAUCUUUGCAUAAUGACCUGAAUAUGACUUUUAUCAAGUAAAAAUCAAUAAUACAUCAAAUGUGCUUUAUAGCUUAGUGGGUAUCUAAGGGUCAAAUUCCAAAUCAUAUAGAAUUCUGCUAAAUAGAUCUUAUUAGAAUUCAGGAGGGAUCAGAUGUCCAAAAAAUCCACUCAACUGUCAUGCCUGCAAACUAACCUGCUCCACCGGUACAUCCAAGGGCAUGCUCUGUCAAAAAAUUUAAUAAUAGAGAGCGAAGUUAUUUAAUCUAAGCAGGCAUUGAAGUUUUUUAGUUUCAACAAAACAAGAAUAGCUGAGGAGUAGGAAAAAGCUUUGGAUAUCCAGUAUAAAGAGCAAGACCCUUGGACCUGCUAGCCACUAGGAGCAAAGGGGGAAAACUGGUUUCACGAUUCAUAAUCAUCAGAGAAGCACUGCUUUAAUUUUGGGAUAGGUGCUGACCUAAUUGCUUUAAAUGAAUCAGUGGAUGAGUCCACGGUCCUACUUCUUUUAAAUUUUUAUAAUAAAAUAUUGCAUAUUAACCUCAUGAUCAAGUUUGAAAGCUAUUGAUAACCGUGCUUAUGAAUUACUUUUUUCUUGGCCAACUAUACCACCUUUUUGUUAAAUUAUUAUUUAUUUUCACAUGUAGAGCCAGGUCAGUCUUUCCAGAGACCCAACGGUCAACAUGGAAAAUGAAAAUUGGAGAACCAUCGCAAGAGAGUCGGGGAUCAUCAACGGAUUUCACCCGGCAAGAAUAGCAAGUAAUUUAANNNNNNNNNNNNNNNGACGUGCAGCUCGAGGUCUCCCAUCUCCCACUUAAACCUCUUUACGUUCAAUUUAUCCCGUAGUCCUAACGAUCUCGUUCCUAUUUCACCAUAUUCGAAGGCCGUCACAUGAUCCACUUGUUUCCACUACUUUUUUUUUAUUUCUCGUCAUAUUCCUUUCCACAUGAUCUAGUUGUUGUCGAUGCCUCUUCCUGUUCUCGUAGUAAUCAGUGGCGGUGACAGGGCCAUUGAUGACACGUUAUACGCUACCAUACCGAAGUUUGAAAUAGAUAGCAAUAGAUCAGCAAGGAGCAAGGAUUGUUGGCCCCCGAAAAAAUAAAUAAAUAAAUAAAAAUCAAGCAAGAGCAGAUAUAAUUUUUUUUAUUCGUAAUGGUUUACCCAAUGUAGCAAUUUUGGAUUUCAUUCAAAAUAACUAGCCAUAAAGUAUUAUUUGGAUUCCUUCUCGCAUAAGUACUCAAGAUCUUCUCGAUGAAUAACCAAUGUGGGACUAAACAUAGUCCGCAUGGAUCCUCCCAUACGCCUUCAUUUAAAUUUUGAUGUCCUUGUCAGGUUAAGAAUUCAUAUCCUUUCAAAUCUAAUCACAUAUACCGCGAUAGAUUCAUAAUCAAUGUAGAACUAAACAUUUGUCUGCACGGAUUCUCACAUCCAAUAAAUGCAAUACAAAUUUCUGGCACUUUGUGAAACAAGGUCAGAUUGCAUUUUUCAUAUUAGAGAUGUCAACCAUUGAAUUGCACGAUAAUUACUUCAAAAUUUGUAUGGACAUAUGGAAAAAUAAUAUUAGGGUGCUUUGAGUACUGUACAAUAUGCGACCCAAUGAUAAACAUAGCAAAAAAAGGUUAAAUUCUUUCGCAGGAAAGAUACAACCCAAACCUUAUAAGGAAUGCCACUAUAACACAUCUUCCGAAGCCAAAAAAAAUAUAACUAAAAACAAAAAUCUAUCUAUUUCUAUAUUAUAACAUGAAAGAUUAUCAUGUCAUUUCAUAUAUGGUUGAUUACCCGGGUAAGUAUUUCCUUGUCACACAGAACUCCUUCUUAUAAUAUAUAUUUANCCUUUCUGGAUAAAUAUAUCUUGGUUAGUAGAGCUUCUCUUUAGCAAAGAGAUCAAAGUGGAGUGCACUAAGAGAAGGUGAAAAUAGAUUAUUAUAUAUGUAAUACAUAAAAAUAUAAUUAGCUAAAUAUUGUCACAACCGCUCCUCUUUCUCUUACAUUCAUCAUGUCUCCCAAAACUAAGGUAUUUUAGGCAAGGCUUAAAAAGUGAAAUUUUGAAGUUUUUAAGUUGUGCUAAUAGGAAAUGAGUUUGCUUCAAUAAUAUCCAAAAGCAACCAUAGAUAGUUGCUUACGAAAGAAGUUUAGAAAAUAAACUAGCUCCUAAUUUGUAUUUAUCUGGAGCAUCUACUUAAUCAAUUUAAGUUGCCUACUGUAUUAGGUAGAUUGACUUAACUGUAAUUUAAUUUGAUCCCCCGAGUCAAAACCAAAUAUUUUAAAUUCUCCGGAUUAGUUUGGCUCCCUUAAUCCGAACUCAAAUCUCAAUGAGAUAACAUCUAGAUCUACUUUCAAGUGCACCAGAAAAACAUGCCUUUACAUUACGUGUCUUCAUUUUAACUCAUUUUCUUACCUUUUUUUGUGGUAAUCAUUUUAUGAAUAAGCACAAGCUAUGCCCAAGUGUCGGCAACCAAAAAGCCAACUGAACUUCGAUGGUAGUAUGUUGAUAGACGAGCUGUUCGGAGGUGUUGGCUUUGUGAUCAGAAAACAUCUCGGUGGGAUGAUAUAUAGCAGCUGAUGGUCGUCGCACGUCUGGACUUACUGCAGUUGGGACGGAAUUGCGGACAGCUUGGGAGGGGAUAUCCUAUGCGAGGCGAAUACUUGGCGCCGAGCGUAUAUGCUUUGAGGGAGACUUCUUUAUGGUGAUUGACUGGGUUUGGAGAGUGGACAAAUAUGGUGAUGGUUAUUCUCUUAUCCGUGAUACCCGUAAUUUGGCUCAGAAGCAGAACUACUUUCAUGCAUUAUAUGUAUUUCGGAAGACGAACAACGUAGCAGACUGAGUUGUUUCAUUUGUUGUCCGGCACACCAGGAAGAUCAUAUGGACAUCUGUAGGAGAGAUACCUUCUAUCUUAUACUCUUUAUUUUCUUCUAAUAUGGUUGGAUGUCAUCAUGUUAGAGUUAUAUUAAAUAUCAUUUUUACCCGCAACAAAAACAAAAAAAAAAUAGAAAAAAAUAAAAUAAAAUAAAAUAAAGAAAAGGGGCCAACUAAACAGGACUCUUUCUUCGAUCGAACUCCGCUCGCUAAUGGCGAAAGCGGACCAUAGGAAUGCUCACCGUAAGACCUUAAGCAAUGCUUCGGCAGCCCUCAAAAAAAAAACACUCAGAAAAGUCACUCAAGCGCGUGGGGCCAAUCACGUUGCCUCAUUUAAGGGCACACUCGGGGGUGCCAGUUCAAAGGGAGCAAUCAGAAUACGCCACAUCAGCUGAGUUUCCUUCAUUAUCACCUUUCUGAAAGAUGAUUCACAUGUCAUGGAACGAAGUCCGCUUACCAACGCCGUCUGGGCGACGGCAAUUCCAAGUCCCAUACACCUGCAGCCAGCGCGGCAUCUUCAGAGUACCAUCCCAAAGAAAACAAUCUCCUUAUCCCUUUGCCACCAACGGGAGAGAGUAGACUCAUGGAGUUCCCCACAGCCAAGGUUGCGAACCGUAUGUGGUUUCUCUGCACCCUUUCUAGCUUCCUUGGCUUCAUCUUACUCUACUCUACCUUCAGCCGAGGCCAUUGGCCCGGCUUAGCCUUUGCAUCCCUUGGCAGUUUAGAGGCCACCAUUGGCAUGGAAUCGCCCAUGGACUCAAGCGCUCCAGUCCCUUCUCAAUCCAAGAUGGAGGCACGAGCUCGCAAGUCAUAUAACUUGGAUUUACCUUCUCCAAGUAGUUCUCCAAUUCCUACUUUAGCUGACAAAAGGUCGCCAGCUGAAUCCAACACAGAGUCAUCUCCUCAGUCUUUAUGGGCGGAGAUGGUACAAUCGUCACAAUCCACCACAGCCUUUUCUCCACAGCCUAGCGUAGUUGAGGAAACUUCACCAACAUCCAAUGAUAAGCUCUUGUCUUCACAAGUUAGUGCAGCACAUGUGGUGUCCACGGAGUCUAGAAUCGAGUUAGCCCCCCAGACUAGUGCACAAGAUUUAGCCACCUCAGAGGCAAAUUUAGAGACGUCUUCACGAUCCACAGAGAGGACUUCUUCGUCAUGGGAUGGGAAGUUGAUAGAAGGGAAAUGCAACAUCUUUGAUGGGAGGUGGGUUUAUGAUCCAAAAGCCUACCCACUCUACCAGGACAACCGGUGUCCAUUCCUUGGUGGCCAAGUGGGUUGCCAGAAGAAUGGAAGGCCGGACUCGGCUUACGAGCAUUGGAGGUGGGAGCCCAAUGGAUGUGAGAUUCCAAGGUAUUGGCUGUAGCUUGGGUACGUACGUAGUUACCAUGAACAGAAUGGGCAGGUUUUCUUUUCCUUUCUUCUAAAGGUUGUGUUCAUUUUGCUUGCAUGGGUGUCAUAAUUUGGAAGGUUUAAUGGGACCUACGUGCUCGAGAGGCUGAGAGGGAAGCGAGUGGCAAUCAUUGGAGACUCUCUCAAUAGGAAUCAGUGGGAGUCGCUGGCUUGUCUGCUCUACUCUUCGGUGCGACCCUCACGUGCCUUCAUCAAAGCACGCAGCUCCGGCUUCAAGGUCUUCCGAGCCGUGGUAAACGCUCGCCCUGUCAUUUCUAUGUUUUCAAUGUCUUUUUUUAUCUUUACAAGUUUUAAAUGUCCGUCUGACUGUCGAAGAUAAUAAAAAGUGGAACGAACUGCCAUGUUGGUGACAAAAAUAUCAAAAAAAUGAGUAGUAUUUUUUCCCCCGGAAUUUGAGGGUCCCAUGGCAACGUUCAAGUUUCUCACCUAAAGUUGAGUGGUUCGCAUAUUGCGAUCUCACGGCUACCCAACCUUAAACCAAGGGGAAAAAAUUAAAAUAACAUUAAAAGUUGAGUGGUUCGCAUAUUGCGAUCUCACGGCUACCCAACCUUAAAACAAGGGGGAAAAAAUUAAAAUAAGUGAAUGUUAUAGUUAGAAGGCAACUGCCCUUGUUUACGUUUUGCAAGGCCUAGUGUUUAUAUCUUCUUAUAAUUUUGAGAAAGAUAUAUAUCCAUGCAUAGACGCUACAUUGGUCGUUGCCCUGUGGACUCGCCAAGACUAAUUAGGAAGAGGUUCCCAAAUGUUUGACCUAGAAAAAUUCGUAGACAGCAUCGAUCCCUGACAAAAUUAAACCAAGUUGAAGAAAGAAAUACGCACAUACAUGUAUGCCAAUAUAAAAUCAUCACUUGGGGUAGAGUAUAUAUUCGAUUCCCAUUUUAUUAUCAGCAGCCUGUAGCUUCGUUGCGAUGCAUGGCCACGCAUCAUGCCAUCUCGAGGUGUAAUCGGUGACUAGUGCUGUUUUCUCGAAAAAUCAAAUGCCCUGUUGCUAUUUGCCUUUCAGAACAUUAAACAGAACAAAUAUUGAAUUUUUUUUAUAAACCUUACAUUGCGUAAGAAGAAGCCAUCUACGAGUCGAGUUGAACAAACUAAAAGCACACGUUUCCAUUUUAUUGGAACCUGAAAGCCAAGGUUAUGCAAGCCUCAGGAAGGGUUGAAGCAAAGGAAGGUGUGGGUUUGAUGUUAUGAAUAUUCUUUUGCUUCAGCUAAUUUUUAAGAAUGGCAUGUAUAUAUAGCUCAAGCAAUAAUACUUAAUUUUGUGCAAGGACUAUCAUUGCUCGGUGGAGUUUUACUGGAGCCCGUUCCUUGUCGAGCUGAAGGAAAGGGAAGACCGAUCCAAGGUGCUGAGGCUCGACAAACUCCCAGGAUCAGCCAAGCUGUGGCAGGGGGCGGAUGUCAUGGUUUUCAACACCGGCCACUGGUGGACUCACCAUGGCAACAUGCAGACGUGAGUCUUGUUCGCGGUUCAUUUCCCAUGCAUAAAGCUCCUAAAUUUACUUGUUCCAUUUUGUUCAGUGAAUUAUGAUGUUAUAUUUUUUGAGUGCUGGGGAUGCAGUUAUUAUUCGGAAAAAAAGCUGAGAAGAUAAUUUGGUGAAAUUGGUGCAGAUGGAACUAUUACGAGCAGAGAGGAGCGUUGGUGGAGGACAUAGAUAGCGAUAAAGCAUUUGAGAUGGGGCUGAGGACUUGGGCUCGUUGGGUCGACCGACAUGUGGAUCCUACCAAGACCACUGUGUUCUUCCGCAGCAUCUCUCCAGAGCACAAAACGUAAGAGAACACCUAACUCCACCAGAUCACUUAACAAAUGGAUAAGUUGGUCAGAUUGGCAAAAUAAAUUGCACUUAACUUAUGUGGGCUGGUAGAUGUCAACCCAAUUUUUAUCAAUCAAACUCGAAAUGAGGACCAAUUUCCCUCUUUUUUCUUUUUCUUUUUCUUUUCUUUUUUUAUUUAUUUUUUUUGAGAGAGAAAAGCCAGGUUAAGUACGUCCAACUAUCAACAUUCUAUUUGAUGACCCAAAGUGUCAUCAUCCUAGGUUGUGCAAUAUGUGAGAUUGGCAAUCCACGCACUCAUUGAUAAUAAGAGCAAAGACUUAAUCCAUCAUGUAUCUCAUAAAACUUAAUACAUAAUUUGUAGUACUUGUUGGAUUAGACCAUAAAAUGAUACUUGGUCGCUUCUUCCUCUAGCACUAGAGAGAGAAUAGAGCUUCAAUUUGCUCCUCUUGAACUGACAAUAAUAGAUAGCAGUUAGCAUCCACCACGACCCAAUGUAUUGUUUGUCAUAAGACAGACUCAAAGCAAUGUAUACGUAGAAAGGGAAACAGCGUAAUAUUUGAAGAUAUUAUUGUAUUCUAACUGCACCAUCAUCGAUCUUCUGUUGGGAAUGCUUGUUAUGAUUGCAAUACAUGCGCUCAAACGAGCAUGUCAAAAAUUGCAGGGAGAACCUGCAUUGGUGCUACAACCAGACCCAUCCCAUCACCAACGAAACUUACGUGCAGUGGUUUCCAAGGUCCAUGAUAGCUACGGUGGAGAAAACUCUCACAGAGAUGACGACACCGGUUAGGUAUUUGAACAUUACACGGCUAUCAGAGCAUAGGAGAGAUGCUCACACGGCGUACACCACGAGGAGAGGGAAGCUACUCACUCCGGAACAGCGAAAGCGGCCUCGAACUUAUGCUGACUGCAGCCACUGGUGCCUUCCAGGACUCCCUGAUACUUGGAAUGUUCUUCUUUUGGCCUCGAUCAUUGGAAAUCCCUCUACUGUUUUGUAGAUUGUCCGAUCGAAGCUCCAACUUUCUUUUCUUUCUUUUUCUGUGAAAGAUGUAGUGUGGGCUGGCUAAGCGUUCGAGUAAAGUUUAAAAAAGAAAACUUACAUAUUAUGGACCAACCAAACAAAUUUAUGUGAAAAAUCCUACAAGCCAAAAAUAUAAAUGAAAAGUUUUGUACUUUAAUUUUUAUGAUAAAUUUGCAUCACUUUCAAUUUAAAAUUUUUAUUGGUAGUGAUUUAGGUUGUCGUAGUGAUGAUGAUGAUAACAACCAGUAGUGAUUAGCAAUGAUGGCUGCUGAAUGAUAAUUGGCGGCCAACGUUGGUAGAUGAUGAUGAUGGUAAAUGGUGGCAAAGAUCUUUGGUUAUUUUCAGGAAUUUGAAAAGUUCUCCAAAAAAAAAAAAAAAGAGAGUGGGUCAAAUAGGAUUAACCAAACAAAGUGCUUUGCGUUGAUUUCCAUUGGAAACAAAAAACAAUGAAAGUAGCAAUUGGCUGGGAUGCCUGAUAGGCCUUUAAGUUUUUUUUUUUUAAAAAAAAAACCUUGUUUUGGGAAAGAAGAAAGUUCUUUUUAUUUCUUUUGAGGUCGGCAUGCCUUGAUGUGAAGGGAAUUCUGGGAGGAAAACGCAACACGUUGCCGGCACUUUUUUCACAUCGCAUCGGCAUUAAUUUUGCCGGCUUUGCAUAUUUUGCAAUAGGUAGGAAAAAAAAUGUAGCCAAACAAGUUUUUGGUGAGCAGGAUGAAGCAUUUAUUGCUAGGCCUCAUCUGUCAGGAGCAAGAUGCUUUUGUGGGAUCUUCAGCAUGCCUCUAAGCGGCGAAGCCUGAUGGCUGUCAAGCUAGACAUAGAAUGAGCUUACGACAGAAUUCGGUGGAGCUUCUUGAGGCGCGCUUUGGAGUGCUUUAGCUUUCAUAAGAUUUGGAUCGAUUGGGUGUUGGGGAUGUGUCCGGGGGUCGAGAUUUUCCAUCUUGAUUAACGAUACGCCUUCCCCCUUCUUUAGGUCUACUAUGGGGCUUAGACAGGAAUGUCUUUUAUCCCCGUAUUUGUUCAUCAUCUGUUCAGAUGUCCUGUCUCGGGCUUUGCGGGGUGUUUGUGCUAACCAGGAGCUAGAGACGUUUGUUCCCGCCCCAGGGUCUCGAUCUAUAUCACAUUUACUAUUCGCAGACGAUUGUCUACUCCUGGCCAAGGCGCGAGCAGUGGAUGCACGAGUCCUAAUGAGAGUAUUAGCGGAGUACUGCGCAGUAUCGGGGAAGAAGGUAAACCUCCCACUACAAGAAACUUGGACAUUAGCGAUGCUUUUUUUGGCUAUUAGCGACACUUUUAAGCGUCGGUAGAAACCAUCUCAAUGUUUUCCAAAGCGUUGGUAAAGCGUCGCCUAUGCUACAGUGAAAAAAACAUUUUCCGGCGCUUUUAAAAACGUCGCUAAUUCCCGACGCUUUAAAACGUCGCUCUUUACCGACGCUUUAAAGCGUCGCGAAUUACCAUUUGCUGUCUGCAUCUUCUCCUCCAUUCAGAAAUACAAACAACCUUCCUGAUCGGUACCUUCAUUCUAUCCGUGCGAAGUGGUUGGGUUUGGCUAUAUAAACAGUUAUUUUUUUUUCAGAUCCGCCGAUAUGGGACUAAAAUGAGGUGGUUUUUUGGAUUCCGACGACGCUUUUAAGCGUCGUUAUUUAACGAUGCUAAAAAGCGUCGUUAAAAGUGUCGUCAAUUACAUAUUAACUUCGACGACGCUUAAAAGCGUCGUCAUUAGCCGACGCUUUUAAAAAGUAUCGGCAUUAGCCGACGCUUUUAAAAAGCGUCGGCAAAUAUUGACGGGGAAAAAUUUUUGCCGACGCUUGGAAUAAGCAUCGGCAAAUAAGAGUCGGAAGUUUUCUUUUUUUGUGUAGUGUCCAGAAAUCAACUAUCUCUUUCAGCCCUAGCAUUGAGCAUAGGGUCAGACAGGAGAUUCGGGGGAUACUGGAGAUGCUGGAUCAGGAUGGGACCUGGAGCUAUCUGGGAGUACCUAUUAUGGACAGGAGAUUGCGGGUGGCCGAGUGCUCCAGUUUGAUGCAGAGAAUUCAGAGCAGACUAGAGGGCUAGGGAGCAACUUCACUCUCUAUGAUGGGAAGAUUGACAUUGAUUAGAUCAGUGCUAGCUUCCAUACUUGUCCACUUCAUGGCAAACACAGUGGUUCCGAAAACAGUGCUGAUGAGGAUCGAGCGGCUACUUCGAAGCUUCCUGUGAGGGUCGUAUGGAGGGGGUCAUGGGAUACACUUAGUGGCAUGGGAGCGUGUCUGCCUACUAGUGAAGGAGGGUGACCUCGGUGUGUUGUUUCUUGUGGAGAGACCCGAGGCGCUGAUUGUCCAAUAUGCAGCUCAAUUCACGCUGGAGCCGUAGGGGUUCUGGAGUCAGACCAUUGCUGCCAGAUAUGGCCGGACGGGCAUUGUAGAGGCGAUUCGCAGUGGGCAUCGUUGCUCAUUUAUGUGGCGAGAGAUCGCAAGAUACCUAUCCAUAAUUGUGAAGAAUACUAGAUGGUUGAUAGGCGAUGGACGGAGUAUCAAUGUGGUUGGCGACCCAUGGGUGGGUGCCCUACCUUUGAGACUCUGGCCGACUAUGGUUGACAUUGAGGCAGUGGAGGGACUGCGGGUUUGCGACCUCUUUGUUCCGGGCAGGGCUGCUUGGGAUGAGGCUAGGUUGGGUCAUAUGUUUGGGACACACCUAGCUGAGAAAGUCCGAUCCCUUCCAAUUUCGGGGUAUGCAGGUUCGGACACCCGGGUCUAGGAGCACAUCAUGUAGGACCAGUGUAAGGGUAUAGGACCGGCGUGAGAGCAUUGAGAAGCAGCCUAAGGUUGGGGUGAUUAAUGGAGGAGAAUGGAUAGGAAUGGGAGUCUUUCAUGUCAUGAUGAUGAAUGGGUGCAGAGAAGAGGGUAUGGUAGCUGUGGCGGUGCUAAUUAAUGGUUGCAGCAGCAAGGAGAGACACUAUAAUAACGUGAUAGAGCAAUGAUGCUCACUUAGCUUGACAGCAUCAAGGGCAUGCAUAGGGAUGGAGGCAUAGAAUCCGAGUUGAUUGUCGCCACUUGGGCUUUGUUGGAUGCUAGUUCCUAGAAAUUGCUGAUAAUUAUGUAAAAUAAGAUUUGUAAAUAAUUACAUUAUUUAAUAAUAAAGAUAUAUUGCAAAAUAAUUGGAAGGAAGACAUGCUGGAAACGAAAUUUGCGAAAACAAUGCUCUGAGAAAGAAUUUCGCCCCUCGUGUAGGUUUGCGAGGAGAUCAUCCCCAAAGUACAAUGAAUCCGGCUCAACUUAAUGCUUUCUAUCACGAGCACGAUUGUAUGAAGAUCCAACCAAAUAGACUCCUUCAGUUGUCCAGAAAGAAGAGUAGAAAAGUAUUAGAGAAAUUGAAUGAGAAAACUGGAAGAAAAAAAAGAAAAGAAGCUAGCAAGGUCUCUCUUAGAGUAAUAGCACAAGGCCUGAUUUAUUUUCGGAUUGUGUUCAUGACUCAAUACUUGGAGCCUAUUUUUCUUAUCAACAGGUGUAUAAGACAACCAAACAGAUCUCGGCGAACGAGUGCGUGUCACCAACAUACCCAUCAUCUCCACAAAAAAAAAAGAAAUAUAUUGCAUUUCAGUAUCCAGUAUAAAUUGAAGUUUGAAAUUUAAAUUUUUUUCAAAAAAAAAACUAAAAACUUUCUUUUAAAAUGUUGAGUAUUUAAAAAAUUAGAAUUUCUAACAGGUUGAACCUGGAGAAGAAUUUUUAUAAGCCUGUAGGAGCGUGCUUGGCAACCUAGAGUCCAACUAUCCCAUCAUUAAUGACACUAUUUUUUUGGGAGAUGCACCAACCUCUCCUUAUUUGCCGAUUUCAUGAUAGUCAUUUUUUUGAUAGAAUGAAAUUAUGGUUAGGCCACUCAAAGCCGGCAAAUUUUGUGAUUCUUAUGAACCUACCAAAGCCAUGGGUCAAAGUUUAUAUAUUUUACCAAACUGGCUGUUAUUUUUAGGAGCAUCCAAGUCAUAGAUACAAUCCAUACCUUCAUUGCACCAAUCGGCCUACAGAUAUAAUUAAUCCACAUUAACUAUAAAAUGAAAGUUGCCAUACAACAUUAUUUUAUUAUCAUAUAUCUUUUAGUGUAAGAUGGUUACUUAUAAACAAGCAAUAAAAUAUGUAUGAUAGCAGAAUUUAUGUAAAAGUAAAUAAUAUUAAUGAUUACAAUAUAUAUUGCUAGUUUAAUAAUACAAUUAAGAUAAGCAUUUCAAUUAAAAAAAGUUGGCAGCCAUAAAACUCCAUCAACAGUAGCAGGCACGCUGCUAGAAUCGCCAGUCCCUACAAAGUUGAAAAACAAAUAUUUUAAGAAGAUUAAGGCGGUGUAAUCAUAAGAGAAACUACUUUUUUCACCUAUAGAAAUUCUUUAAAGCUGUUCUUUUUUUUUCACUUAUAGCUCAUGUGGAUUAUAAAAUACUAUAUCAUGGCCUUAUUUGAGUUGAUCACGGACUAAAGUAUUUGUGAUCAGAUUUAUGGUACUUAUGGUUAGAUUUGAAUGAAUUUAGACCUGCAAAGAUACUAGAGCUUAAAUAGAGAAAGUAUAUGAGGAUGCGCGAAGAUGUGCCUCAGCCAAAUAGCUAGAGUUACCGGAGAGCUAUUUACAGUGUUGUUGCCUGAGCUAUUUUAAUGAAAUUUUAUGGCCUUACAUGUGUUUAAUUAUGGAUAUUAAGAUUUCAUUAUACAAAAUUCUUGGAUGUGCAAUGAAAUUCCAUAGUAAUCCUUAAAUUGUAAAUAAAAACUUCUACUUUUGAGUAUGAUUCACAUUUCACCACUAUUUGCUUUUUGCUUGUUUUUGAACAUUUUGCUUGCAACAACCAAAUAGUGAGAACUUUGACGUGCAGAAAUCAAAAUUUCCAAUUUUGUAGUAAAAGAAAAAUACUCAUAGGUUCAAGAAAGUCAAAAAAUUUUCCGAAAAAAGUCAAGAAUAAGAAUUGCUUUUGUGCAUAAAUAUUACCAGACAAUAUAGGCCUUUUUUCCUUAAUCAAAUUUAAUAACUACACAGAAAAAAAAUACACAUCAAAUUUAAUAACUAACUAAUAUCUUAGAUUCAUGAACAACACAAAGCAGCUUUGUAUCAAAGUAUAGCUACAAAUAGGAGCAAGUCUCAACACUAUAAGAUUACUUUGCUUAACUAAGCAAUAACACAUAAAAGUUAUUACAUGACAGAAUGAUAUAAGCAUUAUUUUCUCUCUCUCUCUCUCUCUCUCUCUCUCUCUCNNNNNNNNNNNNNNNNNNNNAUAAGCAUUAUUUUCUUCUCUCUCUCUCUCUCUCUCUCUCUCUCUCAUUCUUAUAUUUUUUUUGUGUGGGGAAGGAUUCCUCUAAGUUAUUAAUAAGAUGUCAUUGUAGAAGAUCGUUGAAUUUAUGCUGUUGGGUAAGAAGCAAGCUUGGCCAUACCACAGAGCCCUUCCGGUGCACCGACAUCACGCUGGAUGCGCAUGUAUCCCGUCUCACCCCAAGUUGUACCCCAUGAAUUCUUUACCAGCCAAUAUUCAGUCCCAUCCUCAGCUAUCCCGUAACCAACAGCGGUCACAGCGUGGGUCAUUUGCGUUUCACACGGACCGGUGAAGAUGCCACUGGAGUAGUGCCGGAAGUCUUGCCCACUACCAUCGAUGCCAACUGAAACAGGCUGGUUCGCGACCGCCUGUAAGAGCGAGGACUCGUCAUUUGCAGGCACGCUCUCGUAGCCGCUGAUAGUAGCUGCCGAUGAUGAUGUCUUGUUGGUGUCACAAGUGCCAUUAGCUGCCAUGUAAGGGUAGUUAUCUUCAGUUGUUAUCCCUCCAUUAUCAAUGACGUAUUGGAAGGCACGAGUCAUGAGUCCCCCGUCGCAUCCUUGGUUUCCAUCGUUAACAUCACAGUCCACGAGUUGUUGUUCCGACAAGGAGACCAAGUUGCCGGUCUUGAUUUGAGUAAUCGCUUCAAUGGCAGCCACAGAAGAGAAUGCCCAAAAGCACCCUACGUGCAUCUUGUUGUUGGUUAGAUAUAUAACUUGUUUGUGAGCCAUGUUAAUUACUUGAUUACAUCUUUCAUGUAUCUUGUUGUUCUUUAAAUUUAGAUAUAUAACUCAUUGUACGCCAUAUCUUACCGCACGAGCCUUGAUUCUUGACGGGAGUAACUGCACCUCUGGUUCUCCAGUCCAUGCUGUUAGGCACGUCGGUCAGGUUGGCGUACUGAAAGCUUCCUGUCGUGGACGCCGUAGGCAUGGGCUUGAAUGCAAGGCGAGAGGCCUUGAACUCCCCGUUGGUCAAGUCAGCAAACUGGUUGAGGCCGAGCUUAUACUUGCGAUCGCCGGCUCUAUUGACAGACUUGAUGUACUCGUAGUUGUCCCUGAAGAUUUGGAAUCGUCGCUCCUUCUCUGCUGCAUCCGUGUAGACCCGCCCAUUCUGAGCCAUCCACUGCUCGUGCUUUGUCCGCAUAGGCUCGUCAGCAAUGCCACGAGCCGUGGCUCCAGAGACCCAAACACCCAAGACCAUCAAUGCGAGCUCAAAGCAUUGGUGAGCCAUUGCUGUGUAAAGACUUUGGGAUGAUUGCUGCCAAGUGGGUUAAGUAGCUAGAUAGCGUUGGGAGGGUGAUAAGUAAAGCAGAAAAACAGAGGAUGAAAUCUCUUUUUAUUCAAUUGUAUGACGUCACUUCUAUGUGUAUAUACAAGUUGUCAAUAUGUACCAAUAUAUCCUAACAUCUGAAAAUUAAGAGCUCGCUAUACGCAAAUAUUCAGCACCUUGGGAAUAGAUCUCAAGGCAAUAGACUCAGCAAUGCCUGGCAAUACCUGGGAGCAUCUUAAAUAUUAGGAAAAGAGAGAACUUUCUCAAAAUAAAAACAUCUGAUGGAAGACAAGAGCUUAACAGAACAAUACAAGCAAUAUCUAGAAGAAUAUAUGAUAAUGCAAAAAAACAGAUGGUGCUGGAAAUGCCUAUUCUAUCAGAGCUGAUGCUGAAAUACAUUAAUUACACUUUCAUGAUUAUAUGUACGGAAUACCACUUGAGCACCAGCCUUGGGAAAGGACGGGCAUGAUUUUCAUAAGGAUAAACAAGUAAAAUAGAUGAUAAGAAAUAAGUUGAAUGCAUGGAUUAAAAAAAAGAACUGUUAAAUAAAAAAACAAAGAAAUAGCAUUAAUAGUUAUUUUUGCAAAGUUUGAAUAUCAAAUCAAACCGAAGCCGUGAUACAGUUACCACAAAUGAGGUAACAUAAACUGAUCCAGAGUUAAAAUCUCAGACUUCGAGUUUGACAUGGUUGAGUUAACAAAACCAACAACAAUUGAAGGCUUUAGAAUCCUUAAAGGUUAGUUAAAAAAUUAGAUAAAGGGUGAUAUUUUCCACAAGAUUUACUUGCAGGAAAUGUGAAUGCCUUGUAUCAUAUCACAGAAAUUGGCAAAAACGCCCAAGAAAUACAAGGAAUGCAUUCGACUUUCUUUGUGAUUUUACAUUGGUCAAAUAAUGUGAAAAUAGUGUUCUUUAAACCUUCUGCAAAAGCAAUGCACAAUUAGAAAUGCAAAAAACCCACCCCUCUUGGUAUUUGCCCCACAUUUUGAAACAAGGUUUGCAGAGUCAGCUUGGGUUUCAGCGGAGCCCAUAAGUUUUGUUUUUGGCAGUUCCAAGCCAGGUCCCAGAUUCUUGGACAAGAAAAACGAUAGACACAGGAAAAGCAGGGGAGGGAAGAAAGAAAAUAUAAAAAAAAUCCAAAAAACCAUAUAGCACAUAAUUUUAGAGUAUUUUGGAACAUUUGAAAUUUCUGGAAGGACGGGUCCCAAUAUUUUCAGAACAAACUAUCAAGAAUUGCAAAAAGGGAAAGAAAUCUUAUUAUAAACCAAAGAAAAUGUUAAGAAUCAUGUUAUGCACCAACUUAGCGCAUAACAUGUUCCAUUGUUUAAUAACAAUCUUUGACUGCCAAAUAUGUUACACCAUAGAUCUUAGACAGAAACAUUCAUACAUAAAGUCAAAUAUUAAUAUAAACUUGAUAUGUUGGUUAGCAUUAUAUUAAGUACCAAAUACCAAAUUAUAAAUUAUAAGCUACAGCAUUUGUUAAUAAAAUUUUAAUUAGUUGUGUAAUUUUUCAGAUUAUAUUUGCUAAUCGAGCUCCAGGGUGAAAAGGUGGGAUGGGGAUCGGGUGGCAGCAGGGUGUGCAUCCUGUAUGUCUGGAAUAAACCUCUUCCAGUAACUUAAGAUAUUACAGCAAAGUGAGCAAACUUAAGAUAUUGCAGCAAAGUGAGCAAACGUACAUUCGAUCUCAAGAAAAUUCUCCUUUGGAUAGAUUUAACACCUAGAAUUUAGUGCUCAAAACAGGAACUGUUAUUCAUGGUUAGUUUUCGCUUGAAACUAGUCUAAAACUGGUCAGUUUUGGCGUUAAAUCACCACAAAAGAGUUUCAGAGGUCAGAUCAGUUUCAAAUGUUUUUUGAAGUAUAGUUUG
RNAcentral lists this long non-coding RNA (21192 nucleotides) under Phoenix dactylifera (date palm). Its description in RNAcentral is "long non-coding RNA (PDAC_LNC005686)". Lineage: Eukaryota; Viridiplantae; Streptophyta; Magnoliopsida; Arecales; Arecaceae. The record is from RNAcentral.